UUGGCAUUGAUAUCGCUCGCCGUGCAAACAAAGCACGUAUGACCUACCUGUCUGCCAAGUAAAAGUCAAGUACUUUUAGAAUGAAUAUAUAAGGAUAGGAUGAGAGAGCAGUGUCAUGCAGGAAAACAAGCGUCGACAGAGGAAGACUCUCAAGUUCGUAUUCGCGCUAUGUCUGGUCAGAUUAUGUGCUUUGGAAAACAGGAUCACGUGUACUACAUAGUGAUUUCAUGUUUACACUCUGGCAGCAGACAUGUGUACCGAUUCGAGCACAAAAUUUAUUAGUUGCAUACUAUUAGUUGCUGUACAUUUAUUAAAUUAAUUGGUUAAAUCGAUUAACCACGACUCAUGCAGUAGUAAUAUACUAAUGAAUAUUAGACUCGACCAUCGCGUUAUUAAGUUAAACUCUGGUCAAGCGCCAUCAACCAAGCCCUCCUUUAUCAGCCCGGAGCAUCCCCGGAAAUAAUAAUAACAUCGGCCAACAUAGCAGACAACAAUUUGGAGUCACGCUUCGUAUUUUGUAAGCUGAUUUGCCUACAGAAUGGUUCAUUAUUAUUUGGAAUGAAACUGAAUUUUGUGGAGGAAAAUAAAUGUACAGGAAAUGAU
This is a long non-coding RNA of Venturia canescens, 603 nucleotides long. RefSeq lists it as uncharacterized. The record is from RefSeq and is a predicted model, not a curated record. Lineage: Eukaryota; Metazoa; Arthropoda; Insecta; Hymenoptera; Ichneumonidae. The transcript has 2 exons.